AGGCUGCAACCCGCCUGCAUGAAGUCGGAAUUGCUAGUAAUCGCGGAUCAGCACGCCGCGGUGAAUACGUUCCCGGGCCUUGUACACACCGCCCGUCACACCAUGGGAGCCGGUAAUACCCGAAGUCAGUAGUCCAACCUCGUGAGGACGCUGCCGAAGGUAGGAUUGGCGACUGGGGUGAAGUCGUAACAAGGUAGC
Molecule: ribosomal RNA, 198 nt
Filed under: uncultured bacterium
Lineage: Bacteria
Description: partial 16S ribosomal RNA
Rfam family: Bacterial small subunit ribosomal RNA
Source: RNAcentral